CCUACGGGGGGCUGCAGUGGGGAAUAUUGGACAAUGGGGGCAACCCUGAUCCAGCCAUGCCGCGUGUGUGAAGAAGGCCCUCGGGUUGUAAAGCACUUUCAGUGAGGAAGAACGCCUGGUGGUUAAUACCCAUCAGGAAAGACAUCACUCACAGAAGAAGCACCGGCUAACUCCGUGCCAGCAGCCGCGGUAAUACGGAGGGUGCGAGCGUUAAUCGGAAUUACUGGGCGUAAAGCGCGCGUAGGUGGCUUGAUAAGCCGGUUGUGAAAGCCCCGGGCUCAACCUGGGAACGGCAUCCGGAACUGUCGAGCUAGAGUGCAGGAGAGGAAGGUAGAAUUCCCGGUGUAGCGGUGAAAUGCGUAGAGAUCGGGAGGAAUACCAGUGGCGAAGGCGGCCUUCUGGACUGACACUGACACUGAGGUGCGAAAGCGUGGGUAGCAAACAGGAUUAGAUACCCCUGUAGUC
This 465-nucleotide ribosomal RNA is filed under the name Vreelandella stevensii. RNAcentral describes it as "partial 16S ribosomal RNA". It matches the Rfam family "Bacterial small subunit ribosomal RNA", at positions 338 to 795 of the family's 1533-position model. The record is from RNAcentral. Lineage: Bacteria; Pseudomonadati; Pseudomonadota; Gammaproteobacteria; Oceanospirillales; Halomonadaceae.